This 1751-nucleotide ribosomal RNA is filed under the name Lentilactobacillus parakefiri. Its description in RNAcentral is "bacterial LSU rRNA". It matches the Rfam family "Bacterial large subunit ribosomal RNA", at positions 1 to 1750 of the family's 2925-position model. Lineage: Bacteria; Bacillati; Bacillota; Bacilli; Lactobacillales; Lactobacillaceae. The record is from RNAcentral.
AGAUUAAGUUAUUAAGGGCGCACGGUGGAUGCCUUGGCACUAGAAGCCGAAGAAGGACGUUACUAACGACGAUAUGCUUUGGGUAGCUGUAAGUAAGCGUUGAUCCAGAGAUUUCCGAAUGGGGGAACCCAACAUGAGUGAUGUCAUGUUAUCGACAUGUGAAUUCAUAGCAUGUCAGAAGGCAGACCCGGAGAACUGAAACAUCUUAGUACCCGGAGGAAGAGAAAGAAAAAUCGAUUCCCUGAGUAGCGGCGAGCGAAACGGGAAGAGCCCAAACCAACAAGCUUGCUUGUUGGGGUUGUAGGACACUCUAUACGGAGUUACAAAAGAACAUGUUAGACGAAUCAUCUGGAAAGAUGAAUCAAAGAAGGUAAAAAUCCUGUAGUCGAAAACAUAUUCUCUCUUGAGUGGAUCCUGAGUACGACGGAGCACGUGAAAUUCCGUCGGAAUCUAGGAGGACCAUCUCCUAAGGCUAAAUACUCUCUAGUGACCGAUAGUGAACCAGUACCGUGAGGGAAAGGUGAAAAGUACCCCGGAAGGGGAGUGAAAGAGAACUUGAAACCGUGUGCUUACAAGUAGUCAGAGCCCGUUAAUGGGUGAUGGCGUGCCUUUUGUAGAAUGAACCGGCGAGUUACGAUCUGAUGCAAGGUUAAGCAGCAAAUGUGGAGCCGUAGCGAAAGCGAGUCUGAAUAGGGCGUUGAGUAUUUGGUCGUAGACCCGAAACCAGGUGAUCUACCCUUGGUCAGGUUGAAGUUCAGGUAACACUGAAUGGAGGACCGAACCGACUUACGUUGAAAAGUGAGCGGAUGAACUGAGGGUAGCGGAGAAAUUCCAAUCGAACUUGGAGAUAGCUGGUUCUCUCCGAAAUAGCUUUAGGGCUAGCCUCAAGUGAUGAUUAUUGGAGGUAGAGCACUGUUUGGACGAGGGGCCCCUCUCGGGUUACCGAAUUCAGACAAACUCCGAAUGCCAAUCAAUUUAACUUGGGAGUCAGAACAUGGGUGAUAAGGUCCGUGUUCGAAAGGGAAACAGCCCAGACCACCAGCUAAGGUCCCAAAAUAUAUGUUAAGUGGAAAAGGAUGUGGCGUUGCCCAGACAACUAGGAUGUUGGCUUAGAAGCAGCCAUCAUUUAAAGAGUGCGUAAUAGCUCACUAGUCGAGUGACACUGCGCCGAAAAUGUACCGGGGCUAAACAUAUUACCGAAGCUGUGGAUUGUCCGUAGGACAAUGGUAGGAGAGCGUUCUAAGGGCGUUGAAGCAUGAUCGCAAGGACAUGUGGAGCGCUUAGAAGUGAGAAUGCCGGUGUGAGUAGCGAAAGACGGGUGAGAAUCCCGUCCACCGAUUGACUAAGGUUUCCAGAGGAAGGCUCGUCCGCUCUGGGUUAGUCGGGUCCUAAGCUGAGGCCGACAGGCGUAGGCGAUGGAUAACAGGUUGAUAUUCCUGUACCACCUAGUAUCGUUUUAAUCGAUGGGGGGACGCAGUAGGAUAGGCGAAGCGUGCUGUUGGAGUGCACGUCCAAGCAGUAAGGCUGAGUGUUAGGCAAAUCCGGCACUCGUAAGGCUGAGCUGUGAUGGGGAGAGGAAAUUGUUUCCUCGAGUCGUUGAUUUCACACUGCCGAGAAAAGCCUCUAGAUAGAUAACAGGUGCCCGUACCGCAAACCGACACAGGUAGUCAAGAUGAGAAUUCUAAGGUGAGCGAGCGAACUCUCGUUAAGGAACUCGGCAAAAUGACCCCGUAACUUCGGGAGAAGGGGUG